Molecule: ribosomal RNA, 456 nt
Filed under: Triticum aestivum (bread wheat)
Lineage: Eukaryota; Viridiplantae; Streptophyta; Magnoliopsida; Poales; Poaceae
Description: partial small subunit ribosomal RNA
Source: RNAcentral
AUGACAAGGGGAACUGAUACUUCCUCAUAUGAGAAUUCUUAUCCUUCUGACUAUGGCAUGCCUUUUGGUCUGCCCUGGCUUAGAAGAAUGCAUGCUCCUAAGCCAUGGGAGAAAUUAGCAAACAGACAAAAGUUAUCAUUUGAUUUCAGUGCUUUGAAUAGGUUCAUGCAAAAAGAUAAACUUUCAGAUGUAUAUGGUAUCACCCUCACCUCUGAUGGCACAAGCGCUCUAUUUGAUGUUCUUCAGGAGAGGUUCAAGAUUACAUUUAAGGAGAGAACACAGUCAUGGCUUAGCAAGAUAAUUGAGCCCGAGGGACAAGGAGUGGUUGCCGAGGUUGUAAACCCGCCUCCAGUUGAAUACGCCUGGCCCAACGGAGCUGGGAUCUUUCUCGAACACGAAGCAGCCAUAGCCAUCAAUGUCACGAACGCCCCACGCAUUGUACUGCCUGUGGUUUGA